RNAcentral lists this ribosomal RNA (253 nucleotides) under uncultured bacterium. RNAcentral describes it as "partial 16S ribosomal RNA". It matches the Rfam family "Bacterial small subunit ribosomal RNA", at positions 524 to 776 of the family's 1533-position model. The record is from RNAcentral.
UACAGAGGUCUCGAGCGUUGUUCGGAUUCAUUGGGCGUAAAGGGUGCGUAGGUGGCGUGGUAAGUCUGGUGUGAAAUCCCGGGGCUCAACCCCGGAACUGCACUGGAUACUGCCAUGCUUGAGUACUGGAGAGGAGAUUGGAAUUUACGGUGUAGCAGUGAAAUGCGUAGAUAUCGUAAGGAAGACCAGUAGCGAAGGCGAAUCUCUGGACAGUUACUGACACUGAGGCACGAAGGCCAGGGGAGCAAACGGG